Molecule: long non-coding RNA, 1714 nt
Organism: Pan troglodytes (chimpanzee)
Lineage: Eukaryota; Metazoa; Chordata; Mammalia; Primates; Hominidae
Exons: 2
Source: RefSeq, a predicted model, not a curated record
GGGUAUGCAGCUCUUUCAGAUGAGAAUCUAGUGGAUCCCACCGUGUAGAGGAAAGGUCUGAACACCACCGGGUGCUGGUGAGGAUGAACGCGAGCAGGGGCUGGGGGAGCUUCCGACGGCUUUAUUCCUCGACUGGAGAAGAGUAUGGUAAACAGGCAGGCAGAGGCCAAAGCGGGCACAUUUCACUCCUCUGGAAGGAAGAGGCCUCCCCUGGGCCACUGUGCGCCGUCUCUGUCCAUCAGACCAGUGAGGAGGAAGAGGGCUUGGGGACUGGAGUCAGCCCUGACCUUGUGUCGCGUCUCUUCCACACACCGCUGUGGUACCUUGGGCAAGAGGGCAGCCACUGAGGAUUCUUGAGGAGAGAGAGACCAUAGAAUGAAUGAAAGAGUUGGAAAGACUUUAAAGCUCUGGGAGGCUGAAUCCUUUAUUUCGCUGGAAGAAAAACUGAAUGCCAAGAGGGCCUCACUUUCCCCAGAGCUAUACAGACAUCAGGGGCAAUGCUGGGAUUCCCCCAUGGAUCUCUUGACUCCUAAUACAGUGCUCUUCCUGAUAUGCCAUCUCGCUCCGUAAUGAACAUUGUGUUCCAGGAAAAUCAGUCUGCGCUGAACAGGAUGGAAUUGGGGCAGGACGUCCAGUGAGGAGGACAUUGAGGCAGUAGAGCAGUUGAUUGCCGAAUGACCACCUACCCUGACUUAAAAGAUCAACCUCAGGGUGGAUUGGAGCUUUCUAGAGUCUCUUGGGACAGCAGAAGCACAGGCCGGGUUGGACUGAAUCUUUAAGUGGACAUGAGGGACAAAGUACCUCCUGUUGGUAAACAUCUCACCACCAACCCACUGUGGUGGCUAAAAUCCCACCUUUAGUCCCAGCAACAUGUGAGCAUGUCACCAGGAGGUCUUCACAGGCCUGUCUGCCACCUGAGUGUAGACAUCUUUUGGCCCUGGAGCCCAGAGAGGCUGAAUGUGGAGAGGGUGGAGAGAGGUCUGUAGUCCUCAGAGAAGACUUGCAGCUUUUUCAGAGCCACCAACCCAUAAAAAAAAAAAUCCCCAAACAGGAAAACCCUAACUGUGGUGACCAGGUACCUCCUGAGACAUGAAGCCUCCACUUACCUGGACCCUGGAGGCCUCUCCGGGCACAGCUGCCAAUGUUGAUCUUAGAUAAGACCACCAGCAAGUAAACAUCCACUGUGCAAAGCUGUGUUAUCUUUGGGGAACUGAAAUGUCCCCUGGGAGUUGGAAACUCCCCUAGCCACAUACCACAGAGUUGAGGAAGGAAGAGCUGAUGGACGGAAGAACCAUGGCGGGAGGAGUCACCCGGAAGCUACCUCGCUGCCCUGUCAGUUACGGAACAGAGGAGAGAUGCCGGCUGGAGGACACAGCAAAUUUGAACCAAGAGGAGCUUGGAGGAAGCCCGAGCAACCUGGAGGGGACUGGCUGACCUUCCUCAUUCUUUCCAAGUGUGAAUAAUAACCAAGCCCAGUUUGGCAACUCCUUGAGGGUGAGGACGAAGCCCCAUUCUCCUUUUUGGAACUUGGUGGGGCUCAGGAAGCAGGUUCUCUCCAGUCGGUGGCUUUCCUUUCUGUUGCGGGUCUCUUGAGGGCCUGCCUUCAUGAAGGCACAUGAGUGACUCAUCAUUUGUGAAUUAAUUGCUAUAUGUGAGGGGCAUCUGAGAACAAAUUCUCUUCAUAGACUUUUCAUUAUAAUUUUAUUUGUACUGA